UUGUCAUGUGAAGCGGAGAGAGGCACCAACACAGGGAGAAGCUCAAGGCAAAGUAAGAUGGCGGAAGGCAGCGAGAGAAGAGGAAAGCAGCUUUUCAGAGGUAUCUGGGAAGAGAAGUAUGUGCAGUCAGCUGGAAUGUUCUCUCAAGCAAACAAUCAUCUCUGCUCCAAGACCAUGUGUCAGUUUCAAUAUUCUACUUCCAAGCCAGGAUUUCCUGGGGCCAGUUUUUCUGCCUGGAUAAUUCUCCUAUCAACCUGUUUGAGCCAGUCUGGGACAGUUUCUGCAGGUUUGUUUUUCAUGACUCAAGAAUAACUAUAUCCUCACUCCCUUGCCCCAAUCUGGAAUUUGGGACCAUCAGAAAUGAAAAAGUGUGACCAAUAGAAUAUCUUGAUGUCCCAGAGUGGUUCUGCACAAAUUUAAAGCAGCUCCUACCGUCUUUGCCUUUCGAUCACACUACUUUAGCCAGAUUUCCAUGUAAAUGAUGUUAUCAUAUGUGAUAUAUAUAUUUUAGAGGAACUACUGUUAGGUUUUCUUGUGUAUUCAGUUGAAGGUGGAAUUAUAAGCAAAUGAAUGAAUAGAGGCCAUCACACUGUGUCCCUGCUCACAUAGUGAACGUGGAUCUUUCUGCAUUAGUAUUCUACAACAUCAUAGUGAUAUAUCAUUAAUUAAAACAGCCUUAAUAUUGCUCUUACAAUAGCAGGCUGACGCUUUAAGACAGAAACAAUAUCUAGUAUGGAAAUCACCUUGGCUGUAUUUUUAGCCAUGGAUGAUUGAAUAAGCUGCAUUUGACUAGUUGAUCUUGAGCCUUUCCUUGUUCCUGGAGGACAUCACACACUAGUUUCCAGCCAGAUCUCUGGAAGCUUGUCCAUAUACAGCCUUCCAUGUUCAGAUAGGUGCAUUUUGGAAAAAAUUGCAUUAUGUUUCAAGUCAGCCUAGGAUGCAUUAGAGGCAUGAUGGGCAUGGUUCUUUAUUUUCAACCCACAUGUGGAUAUUUCUAAGGAGCACCUUAUAUGUUUGAUCAUUUUCCAAGAGCUGUGUUCACAUUGAAGGAUUUUUGCUAUCAGAUUGAAAAUUCUAAUAUAAUCUCUCAAUAUAUUCAGGUACUCGGCUGUAGGCUCGUUUUUAAGACAGUAGAUACGGUAGCUACUACUUAAUAUUUUCAGCAGUGUCCCCAAUAUAAUGCAUACUGAGGGAAAUUUUAAAUCACAGUUCAAAGACUCAGCCAUUGAAAGUAAGGAGCAAUAUUCCAGUCAUCUAUAAAAAACUAUUUUUAUUUUUUUAAUUAUUUUUUUAUUCGUGUAGAUUGACUUUUCCUUAUUAAUCUGGAAUGAACAACCAGAGAUGGGUCUUCAACAAAAAAAGUGUUAUAUCACUCAAAGGAUGAAAGUCAGUUGCAAUUCACAUGCACCUGAAGAAUAUUGUGGAAUAGGAAGUGCUUGCUUUUGACUGACCAGAUUAAAAAAGUAACAAAAAACAGCUUAUUCAGAUAUUCAGUCUUUAUUAUGGUCACAAACUAGCACAAAAAGUUAUUUUUUCAUGUUUACAGUGAUUGUAGGACACAAAAUCUGUUUGUUAAGGUUUAAUAAAACAACAAAUGGAGAAAUAUUACACUUCUGAUCUAUUUUUCCACUGAAUUUUGUUAACACAAUUUGGGAGCCUGCAAAAGGUGGAGGGGAGGCCGAGGCACAUACCCAUGGUGUGAAUUCAUUCAUUAUAACAUGUCCAAUUUAGCAUUUCAUAAAGGGCAAAAAUUCUUUAGUGAAAGAUCUUGAUUAACGUUAUAAACACCAAAAGAAAUGGCAAUUGCUUCCUAUUGGCUUCUCUUUUUCCGCUUUUCUGUCUAGAUUCUCCUCCCUCAGAAACAGGCUUGAGGUAGAGAUUAAGGGAAAGAACUCAAAUUACAGUUUCCCUCUGGGUUUCCUGUUCCUUUUCUGCACCUUUGAUGCAGCUAUUGUUGUAUACUUGGUGUGUGUGGGUGGAGCAAUAGAUACACAGCAGAAUCAGCAAGUAGCACUCCCCCAAAACCUCUAUUUUUCCUCUCUUUUUGGGUGUGUAAGGGCUGUACUAAAGAUCAUAGCUGUGCUUUUAAAAGCAUAUUCUCUUGACACUCUCCAAUUGCUCAAAUGUGAAACUCAGCCCUAAACCUCUAGUUUCACUUAUCCUAUCUCUAAUGUAGCUUUAUAAGGCUGUAGGGAAAAUACAUAUAAUUUCAGUACAGUACAGAACACUUUGUUUGUAGGCAGGGGACAUAUUUGUAUAGUUGUAGUGCUGAACUUAAAAUACACUU
Thamnophis elegans (Western terrestrial garter snake) is the source of this 2287-nucleotide long non-coding RNA. RefSeq lists it as uncharacterized. The record is from RefSeq and is a predicted model, not a curated record. The transcript has 2 exons. Lineage: Eukaryota; Metazoa; Chordata; Lepidosauria; Squamata; Natricidae.